This 253-nucleotide ribosomal RNA is filed under the name uncultured bacterium. Its description in RNAcentral is "partial 16S ribosomal RNA". It matches the Rfam family "Bacterial small subunit ribosomal RNA", at positions 524 to 776 of the family's 1533-position model. The record is from RNAcentral.
UACGAGGGGGGCGAGCGUUGUUCGGAAUUAUUGGGCGUAAAGGGUGCGUAGGCGGUUUGGUAAGUCUGAUGUGAAAUCUAUGGGCUCAACUCAUAGUCUGCAUCGGAAACUGCCGGGCUUGAGUAUGGGAGAGGUGAGUGGAAUUCCUGGUGUAGCGGUGAAACGCGUAGAUAUCAGGAGGAACACCUGUGGCGAAAGCGGCUCACUGGACCAUAACUGACGCUGAUGCACGAAAGCUAGGGGAGCAAACAGG